Long non-coding RNA from Lycium barbarum (goji berry), 647 nucleotides. RefSeq lists it as uncharacterized. The transcript has 2 exons. The record is from RefSeq and is a predicted model, not a curated record. Lineage: Eukaryota; Viridiplantae; Streptophyta; Magnoliopsida; Solanales; Solanaceae.
UGGAAAUUUAUAAUCAUGCUCAUUGAGUUACCUAAGUAAAUUGGCUAUUUAAUUAGGAUUUAGGGUCCUAUACUAAAUGGGGUAUUAUGGCUGCCAAACGUGGAAUUGAAAAUUUACCACCAUCAAAUCAUUUCCACCUCCUACCAUUAACUUAUUCUUCAUUAAACUUUUGGGUUUCUAUGUCAUCAUCCGUUUUCCAGCUAUGCCAAUGGUCAUCUGGUACCACAAUAAAUUGCUAAUCAAUUAUUGUAUAUAUAUUGAAGAAUAUUAUCAGCCUGCUGAUGAGCUUAUAUAUGGAGUUAUAAAUUUCCAAUAUGCAUAAUCAUCACCAUUAGAAGAAAUAACAAAGAAAAAUCAUAGAUUUGUCAGAUUGUGAUCCAGAGACGUCUACUAGACUUCAUAUUUAGCGUAAGGCCAGUUACUGACAGAUUUGAGGGUGAGCUCUUAUUCAUGCCAGGACGCCUGAAGAUCUUUCUCAUUUUGGAUGUCUAUUUCUUUUCAGACAUUUAUGUUUAGUUCAAACAGUUUUUCAUUCUUUAGAUAGUUAUGUUUCAGAGUCCUUGUACGAUGACUUUCGGAUUUUGGGGUUGUAAUAGUUAGACUUCCGCAUUUAUUAAUCAUUUAUGGCAUGACUAGACGUUUUAUUA